Molecule: long non-coding RNA, 5210 nt
Organism: Cannabis sativa
Lineage: Eukaryota; Viridiplantae; Streptophyta; Magnoliopsida; Rosales; Cannabaceae
Exons: 2
Source: RefSeq, a predicted model, not a curated record
AUCAAAUUAGACACAAUUUUUAGUAUUUGUUUCAUUUGAUAUAUGAUAUAAGAAAACUAAUUUUUAGUAUAAGCAAACUAUUUCAAGGUAGAAAAAAAAUUAAAAUAUCAUUUUAAUAAUAAUUAUUAAUUAAUUAAAAUUUUUUAAUAAAAAAACUAUUAAUAAUAAUACAGUAGAACCUCUAUUUAAGAAUACUCUAUUCAAGAAUAACUUCUAAUUUGUUAUAAAAAAAUGAAGUCCCAAUUUGGGCCAGUUGUAAAUAAGAAUAACCUCUAUAUUGUAAUUAGUUAUACAUUUUUUAAGUCCCGUAUUAAUAAAAUAUACCUCUAUAUAAGAAUAAUUACAUCUUAAAAAAAAUAUAUACAUAUAUUUUUUAAAUUUAUUUACGUAGAAUUAAUAAUUUUAUUUCAAAUUAUAGUACAUGUAUAAAUAUUAUAUGUACUCGAAAAUAAUUCUAAUAUAAUAUAGUAUUAAGAAUUGUUUAUUGGUAUUUUUGUUACAUUGAUAUUUUUUGAUAUUUUGAUUUUUUUUUCAAGUGUAACUCUAUUUAGUUAUAACCUCUCAAUUAGAAUAUUAUUUUUUUGGUCCCAAGUGUAUUCUUAAAUAGAGGUUCUACUGUAUUAUAAUUAAAAAAAACUAUAUGUAUAUCAAAAUCUCAUUAAUGAUAAAUAAAAAAAUUGUAAUUAAAGAAAAAUACUAAAAUGUAUCAUUAAGGUGUUAUAUCGUUAUUAAUAAAAUCUAGUAUCUAGUCUCAGUCUCACAUAAUUUAAUUUAAUAAUUAUUAUUAAAUAAAACUAAUUAAUUAUAAAAUGUGAUCCAGUAGUACUCUUAGGAACCUAUAAAACUUAAUAGCAAUAUCCAUAAUUAAAAUUAGCAUUUAUUAUGUAUCAAAGACACAUUCUUAAUAUAAUAUAUAUAAAUAUAUAUAUAUUAUAUGCUCUAGUGUUAUAGGAGAAACAAAAAAAAAAAAGCAACCAUAGUUUUUUGUAUUUUAUGCAAUUUAUAUAAAUGAUAUUAGGUGCUUUUACAAUGCACCCCUCAGAAAGAAUGUACUGAUGUAUCAUUUAUUUGUUUCGAUAUUUUAAAAAAAAUUAGGUCCAAUUUUUUUCAUAUUCGUGCACAUUUAUAAUUAUUUAAGAUAUUUUACAAAAUUUUAAAAAAUUUAAAAAUAAUUUAUAAUAUAGAAAUUAGUGUUCAAAUAGUCUAUUUCACAUGCUUAUAAGAAAAUAUAGUCAUACGUGCAACACAAUGUUUGAACAGGGUGUUGAAUUUUUCUAAAUUUUUAAAAAUUUUGUAGGAUAUAUGUUUGAAAUAAUUAUAACACCAGAAUUUUCCCUACUGGCAAAAUCGGUGGACCGAUUUUACAACACCAGUAAAACCGGUUAACCGGUUUCUCUACUGGCAGAAACGGGAAAAACUGGUUUUCACCCAAAAACCACACAAAUCAGCUCCAAACCUGUCCAAACUUACCAGAGCAGUUCAAUACCAUAAAUACAAUGUAUCCAAAGCACUAAUUCACAAUAAUUUUUCCACUUUCUCAAAACUACAUUCUCAAAUGGAAAUUAAGCUCAAUAUACUUCACCAAUCAUAUCAAAUCCAAACAGCCCUUAUAUCUAACCUCCACAAGUUUAAACAAACUCAUAAAUUAACUUAGAAACAUACUCUAAUCCUAUCUUAACACCACAGCCCCAAAAACUCCUAAAACACUAGCUUAAACCAAUCUAAAACUUCAAAAAAACAAAGAAAAAAGUGUUGAAUACUUACCUUAGUGUACAAUUGACUCCAACUCACAACUAAUUCAGCCAAGAAGAAGAUGAAUUGUAAGAGAAUCCUUAGGCUGCAGCUCCCCUAGGGUUCGGCCAAGCAUAAGAAGCAAAACCACCAAUGCUUCUAACAAAGCUAACCCCCUUUUUACUAACCAAAUUUUCUAUUUUUUUUUUAAAAGCAGCCACUAAUAUAAAUAUAUAAUAUCUAAAUCAUAAAGACCAUUAUACCCCUUUAAUCUUAAAUUAAACCUAGGGUAUUUUAGUAAUUCUAGCUAAUCCGCCACACCGAUUUUCUAAAAAUUAAUCUAGAAUAUUUCCAAAAUAAUCCAUCCCUAAAUGUCGUGACAUUUCGGAUCACACCGUCCAGUUCCACAGUCACCAAGCCCAAAAAUAUUUUAUUUCAGAAAUGGUAUCCAUGAUACUCACAUAUUCUAAAAUAAUCUCCGUAAUUAAUUAAUUACGCUUUACUUAAUCAUUUAAUAAAUUAUAGUUGUGUACAAUCAACUAUAAUAUUGUAGCUAGGUUGUGGAUUUAAUUAGCAAGGAUUCAUUUUACAAAUUGAAGUGAAGUUUGUUUGGUGGUUUAUCAAAAGAGGUGUGUACAAUCACUCAUUUCUUUACUUAACGACAUAAUAUUUUUCAUCUUAGAAUAGUUUGAAUAUCUUAAAUAUUCAUCCAUAGUGAAGUAGGUUCUCAAAAAUUUGUGUGUUGCGGAGAUAUAAGAAGGAAACUUAUUGUGUGAUAUUUGUAGAUAUAAUAGGUGUUGGGAUUGUACCCUAAAUAAAACUCUAUUUCAAUUGAAUUUUUACCAUUCAAUUAUCAAUAAAGAAACAGAAGUAUUUUCAUCACUUACUUAGUAUGUCAUUUGGUUCAUGUGAUCAUUUAUAUGUUUAUUUGAUUUAUAAAUUCUUUUAAAUCCUUAUCACGUUGAUGUUCUUGUUUAUUGAGUCGUCAGCACAGUGGAAAGUAAUCAAGAUUAUGUGAUUAAAUGUAUUCCUAGAUUUAUCAGUACACAGGGUUUAACUGAUAUGAUAAUCUACAACAUAGUUUACUUGCACCUUGGAUAAGUGCUAUGUCCCUUCCAGGGCAUUGGUUAAAGUAAAGCUUGGGUUGGAUGCAUGGAGUAUGCAUUGGAAGGGACCGAUAUUGAACUUGGAUUAGAUAUGAUAAAUUUACCGUAAUAUCUAUUCAAUUCAAUAUCACCUAGUUGAUCCUAAAUCAAAUGAUCUUAAUCCUGACAUGGUUAGGUUCGAUCUCAAGAGUGUUAUUUAUGUUCUUUGAUUUGUUAGUUAAGCCUACCUUUUGGUCUGGGUGCAGUGGCAGACCCUGAAUUUAAUUGGAGGGUGGGCGUAAAUUUUUUUCAUUUAUAAAAUAUUCUAAAAAAAAACAAGUAUAUAUAAAGAAAAACACAAUUCAAUAUUUCAAUUCCCAACUAAAAAGAUAUUAAAUAUCACGCACUAAAAAUCUUCUAAAAGAAACAAAAAAAAAAGCAAUCUAAAACGAUGUUCAAAAUAUAUAACAUACUCAAUAUCUUAAAAUUUUAGCAAAUAUAUCAAUUUUUGAGCUCAUAUCUAGAGUUGUCCUUGACGAGUUUUCAUGUUUUGGAAAAACGAUGAAUGAUAAGCUCGUUGUCAAUAGCAUUGAAUACAUCCUUUUCGAGAUAUGCUGUCAAAAUAUCAUUCAACUAUUGAUCUCCCGUUUUGUUGCGCAUUUGUUGUGCGUAAUUAAAAUAAUUAAAAGAUUUUUUUUUUAGUUAAGAAGUAAAAGAAAUAUUUUUUUUCAGCAUGGGCUUAAUCCACACUCGUCCUUAAUUGGGUCCGACAGUGUCUGGGUGAUACGUACAUUUUGGGAACAUGGUAGUACAAUUGAGUGGGAGCGCUAAUCAAAGAUAUGGAAUCUAUAGCUUCUAUCUGGACAUAGAAGUGAAACGAUGAUUUCCUUCCAGCUUGGCUAAAUAGAGAUAAAUGGUUGAGUACUCAUUUCAGUGAUUAUGUUAAUUCACUGAAAUAUCAUUUAUAGGUGGCUAAGUGUUUUAAGGAUAAAAUAAAUUGAAGGGUGUAACGAUAAAUUAAUCUCUAAGAAUGUAAAUUAUCUAUAAAAGAUCAUUGAUUAUUGAGAUUAUAACAAUGAAUAAUUAAUAGCGUAUCUAUAUCAUGGAACAUAUAGAGCGCUCUAUGUAACUGAGAGUGCAAUUCCAAAUUCUAUGGUGGAUGCAAUGAGGAAUUAAUAAGUUAGUGGAUUUACUUGGUAAAUUCUAGAUGUGCUUAUUGGAAGUUCGGUUAUAUAGGCCCAUGGUCCCCAUACUAGUUGAGACAAUACUUUUUGUAAGACUCAGUCAAUUGAUUUUAAUUAAUCAAUUAUAAUUCUAAAAAAUCAGACUAUGUUUAGUAUGAAUUUUCACUAAGCUAGGGCUUAAUUGUGAAGAAAGAGAUUCUAGAGUUUAUUUGUUAAUUAAGAGACUUUAUUAAGUCUAAUUAAUAAAUGUAUUAAAUGGAAAUAUUAUUUAAUAAUUAAUUUUUAAUUAUUAAAUAAUUAGUUUUGGCAUUUAAGUGGUUGAAUUGGAAAACUAGUAUUUUUUAAGAAAAUAAGAUAAAUAGUUGAAAAAAUGUCAAAAUUGCAAAGUGGGGCCCAUAUCCAUUGCCGGCCACUUAAGGGCUAAUUUACCAUUUAUUUUUUUCAAUAUUUUAAUGUCAAAUAAUUCUAACCUAACCCUAGUUGGAUUCCUAUAAAUAGGUAGUGAUGGCCUCAAAGAAAAAGAUGAUGAAAACACUUUUCUUGAGUCAAAAACUUGAGCCAUCUUCUCUACUAAUUUCGAAUCCUUCUCUCUCUCUUUCUCUCUUCAAUUUCGAAUCCUAUAGUUAUAGAGUAAGUGCCCACACACAUCAAGUGGUACUCAGUAAGGCUGUGAAGAAUCCAAAUUUAAGAGAAGGAGAAUCGGGCUCAGAUCUUGGUGAUACUCUGCUACAGAAAGGAUACAAGGGUUAGAGAUCUGAGCGGAAGGAGUCAUUUAAUUCCGCUGCUACCACUGGUCCUAAUUAAACAACCUGACGGUAAAGCCUGUGGUUUUUACAUCAUGCGACUAAUGAGAGACUUAACUAUGUCGAACGAUCCAAAAGAUUAUCUUGUGAAGCAUGCAAGUGUUUGAGCUAUCGUACCUUUACAAUAAUUUAAAUUUUGAUUCAUAAAGAAACUAGUAUAUAUAUAAAAUUUGACUGAUUUUUAUAUUGUAGUGUUAUGUUCAGAAAACAUACUCAAUGGAUGAGAUCAAGAAGUGCUCGAAGAAUGAGUCUCCAAUUUAACUGAGUAUAUAUCAUGAUUUAGAUUAAAAUUUAUUAAGUAUAUAUGACUAAUCAUAAUUAUUGUCAAACUUUUGAACUAAUUACAAUAUAUAUUAUUAUAUAAUACUUUAUUCUAUUAAGAGAUGAAUUACAUACAUCUAUUUAAA